Molecule: ribosomal RNA, 486 nt
Filed under: uncultured Microbacterium sp.
Lineage: Bacteria; Bacillati; Actinomycetota; Actinomycetes; Micrococcales; Microbacteriaceae
Description: bacterial SSU rRNA
Rfam family: Bacterial small subunit ribosomal RNA
Source: RNAcentral
AGAGUUUGAUCCUGGCUCAGGAUGAACGCUGGCGGCGUGCUUAACACAUGCAAGUCGAACGGUGAAGCCAAGCUUGCUUGGUGGAUCAGUGGCGAACGGGUGAGUAACACGUGAGCAACCUGCCCUGGACUCUGGGAUAAGCGCUGGAAACGGCGUCUAAUACUGGAUAUGAGCCCCUAUCGCAUGGUGGGGGUUGGAAAGAUUUUUUGGUCUGGGAUGGGCUCGCGGCCUAUCAGCUUGUUGGUGAGGUAAUGGCUCACCAAGGCGUCGACGGGUAGCCGGCCUGAGAGGGUGACCGGCCACACUGGGACUGAGACACGGCCCAGACUCCUACGGGAGGCAGCAGUGGGGAAUAUUGCACAAUGGGCGAAAGCCUGAUGCAGCAACGCCGCGUGAGGGAUGACGGCCUUCGGGUUGUAAACCUCUUUUAGCAGGGAAGAAGCGAAAGUGACGGUACCUGCAGAAAAAGCGCCGGCUAACUACGUG